This 1950-nucleotide long non-coding RNA is filed under the name Solanum lycopersicum (tomato). RNAcentral's name for it is "long non-coding RNA (SLYC_LNC000281)". Lineage: Eukaryota; Viridiplantae; Streptophyta; Magnoliopsida; Solanales; Solanaceae. The record is from RNAcentral.
AAAUAACUAAACCAAUAGCGUAUAAACCCCUCCCCUGGAAGAUCCCCAAAUUUAUUUCAUAUAGAGAGAGAGAGUUAGUGUUAUAUGGAUAUUACAAAGCCGAAAUAAAAUAGGUAACAACAUAAUACAAUAAAAAUAAACUAUUAAACAAAGAUAGCUUCAUCCGAAAUCCUAUCCCUAGGCGACUCUUCAAUGUCUUGAACUUUAAGUUCAAACCUGCUAAACCAAAAUAAUUAAGACAAGAUUGUAACUAUAUAGAUAGAAACACAGAAUUAUUCAUGACCAACAUACGAGUCUCGGCAUAUAAGACCACACCUUGAGAGAACGGAUAAGAAUACUAACUCGGAUGCUUCCUAUAUCACCAUAAACUCACAUAAAUAUGAAUGCAAGACUGAUAUAAAUGCUAAAUAAGAACACUAAUCAAUUUUAGGAGAAAAGAUUAUCAGCAAUGAUGGAGACAACUUAAUAACACUUUCGACCUGAACACAACAAAAUAACAAAGAAAGCACUUGAAUGUUAAAUGAAAUCUUAUUUCUUUUAAGAGUAGAGAGAAAUAUAUUAUUUUUUAGUAUUCAAUUAUGAGCAAUGUGAGGUGUGUUCUGCGUGAAGAAAGUGAGUGAGUGCUAUGAGUGGGUAAAUAUAUGAAAUAUAACAAGAGGGCCUUGCUUAUAUACUAUAUGAGAAGGCACACCACUAAUAGGAAAGAAAUAAUUAAGGGGUAAAUUGUAAUAUAUAUUUUCAUUAGAUAAAGCAGUAUCAAUCAAUAAAAUGCUUUAACAUAAAUCAAUCACAAUUUUACCAAAAAUAAAGCAUGUAAGAAUCUUCUUUAAUUUAUUUAUUAUAAGAAAAUGAAGUUGCCAACUUAAUCAAAGCAAAGGAACAGUCAAAGUUAGAGAAGGCGAGGAGAGAAUAGACAUACUAAAGGAAAACAAUACUUUUGCAUAAACCCAAUGUCAAGAUGUACGAUUUCACAGACUUAUUUCUACCAAUUAACCUGUUAACAUUUAGCAAAUUUAAUUGAGCCAGUAAAAUAAAUUAAUGAGCAGCCCAUCAAAUCAACAUAGAGUCAAUUAGCAUAAGAUGUAAAACUCACACCAAAACUUGAGCACACACAAAAAUUUAAGCAUACUUAAUUAGAUUAGCCCACUAAUCAGAUUCAGAAUCACUAAAAGAUGAGAAAAACAAAGCACAAAUCUCUAAUUUUACGCAAAAAAAUUUAAUACAUUUUGAUCAUAUAUCACAUUAAUAUGAAUAAAACUUCAGUAGUAUAGCAAACUCGAAGCAUACUGUAAUCCACUCCAAAUGAUUAAAACAAAUUCAAAGGAUUAUAAAUAGAACACUUUGAAACUGGGAUGAGAGGAUUAUUGAUUUAAACAUGGGAGCAGCAAGCACUGAAAUCAGUCACUCUAGGAAAAUAAGGUUUUAAUUAGAAGAGAAGAAACCUCGGUGAUCCGCUAAAGAUCCAUCUUCAGCAUGGCAAAGUUUUUAAGCUUUUUCACCAACCAAACUUCGUCCGAAAUAUACUAGUAACCUCCAUCAAAGUUGCUUGCCGUAGUUGCUGCUAAUAGGUUUUUCCAGAAUGCCGUUGGUAUCAUCCAUCCUCGACGGAGAGAGAAGGCGAGGGAGAGGGCGGCACUGCUUGGUCACUCACCGAAGCUGCUGCCGCUAUGUCGUCGAACUGUUGUCGCCAGCUGGAGCUGCUGCCAGUGAUGGAGGAUCUCUGUCCGGCUGCUAUUGCUCUCCUCGCAGCUGCUGUCCACCAGCAAAGGGAGUAGAGGCGGCGUUCUCGCGCUGCUGCUCCUCCGCCGGAGAAGAAGAGAGAAACAGAGAGGGACCGAAGGAGAAGAGAAGAGAGGGGAUGAAGAGAGGGACGAAGGGAGGCGGCCAUCUCUGCAUUCGCAGCGUUUCGCCGGAGCAUAGAGGGGGGAGGGGAGGCGACUUUCCUAAGAG